UCCUAUGACUUGAUCUUACCACUACCAC
RNAcentral lists this non-coding RNA (28 nucleotides) under Homo sapiens (human). Lineage: Eukaryota; Metazoa; Chordata; Mammalia; Primates; Hominidae. The record is from RNAcentral.